GAUGAACGCUGGCGGCGUGCUUAACACAUGCAAGUCGAACGGAAAGGCUCCUGCUUGCAGGGGUACUCGAGUGGCGAACGGGUGAGUAACACGUGGGUGAUCUGCCCUGCACUUCGGGAUAAGCCUGGGAAACUGGGUCUAAUACCGGAUAGGACGAUGGUUUGGAUGCCAUUGUGGAAAGUUUUUUCGGUGUGGGAUGAGCUCGCGGCCUAUCAGCUUGUUGGUGGGGUAAUGGCCUACCAAGGCGUCGACGGGUAGCCGGCCUGAGAGGGUGUACGGCCACAUUGGGACCGAGAUACGGCCCAGACUCCUACGGGAGGCAGCAGUGGGGAAUAUUGCACAAUGGGCGGAAGCCUGAUGCAGCGACGCCGCGUGGGGGAUGACGGCCUUCGGGUUGUAAACUGCUUUCGCUAGGGACGAAGCGCAAGUGACGGUACCUGGAGAAGAAGCACCGGCUAACUACGUG
Molecule: ribosomal RNA, 466 nt
Filed under: uncultured bacterium
Lineage: Bacteria
Description: partial 16S ribosomal RNA
Rfam family: Bacterial small subunit ribosomal RNA
Source: RNAcentral